GAUGAACGCUGGCGGCGUGCCUAAUACAUGCAAGUCGAGCGAACGGACGAGAAGCUUGCUUCUCUGAUGUUAGCGGCGGACGGGUGAGUAACACGUGGAUAACCUACCUAUAAGACUGGGAUAACUUCGGGAAACCGGAGCUAAUACCGGAUAAUAUUUUGAACCGCAUGGUUCAAAAGUGAAAGACGGUCUUGCUGGCACUUAUAGAUGGAUCCGCGCUGCAUUAGCUAGUUGGUAAGGUAACGGCUUACCAAGGCAACGAUGCGUAGCCGACCUGAGAGGGUGAUCGGCCACACUGGAACUGAGACACGGUCCAGACUCCUACGGGAGGCAGCAGUAGGGAAUCUUCCGCAAUGGGCGAAAGCCUGACGGAGCAACGCCGCGUGAGUGAUGAAGGUCUUCGGAUCGUAAAGCUCUGUUAUUAGGGAAGAACAUAUGUGUAAGUAACUGUGCACAUCUUGACGGUACCUAAUCAGAAAGCCACGGCUAACUACGUG
This 497-nucleotide ribosomal RNA is filed under the name uncultured bacterium. RNAcentral describes it as "partial 16S ribosomal RNA". It matches the Rfam family "Bacterial small subunit ribosomal RNA", at positions 28 to 507 of the family's 1533-position model. The record is from RNAcentral.